Molecule: ribosomal RNA, 397 nt
Filed under: uncultured bacterium
Lineage: Bacteria
Description: partial 16S ribosomal RNA
Rfam family: Bacterial small subunit ribosomal RNA
Source: RNAcentral
AAUAUUGCGCAAUGGGGGAAACCCUGACGCAGCAACGCCGCGUGAGCGACGAAGGCCUUCGGGUCGUAAAGCUCUGUCUAGAGGGAUGAAAACUGACAGUACCUCUGGAGGAAGCCCCGGCUAACUACGUGCCAGCAGCCGCGGUAAUACGUAGGGGGCAAGCGUUGUCCGGAAUUAUUGGGCGUAAAGGGUGCGUAGGUGGCCUUUUAAGUCAGAUGUGAAAGCCCACGGCUUAAACGUGGGACUGCAUUUGAAACUGGAGGGCUUGAAUAUCGGAGAGGGUAGUGGAAUUCCCAGUGUAGCGGUGGAAUGCGUAGAUAUUGGGAGGAACACCAGUGGCGAAGGCGACUACCUGGACGAAAACUGACGCUGAGGCACGAAAGCUAGGGGAGCAAAC